UGGAAAGGUAGAAGCAGGGUGAAAUUAACCAGAAAAAAAAUACAAAGAUGGAUGUAAUGGAAAAUGAAAGGGUAAGCUGUUGAACAACGGAAUUGGAUUAGUUGGAAAUAAAUCAAGAGAAUAACAAGCUGGGUAAAGAAGUGUCAGGUUGCUGGAGCAGGGAUCCAAUCGCAGACCCAGUACUCACACAGUGAUAGUAAUUGAGUAACAAAUCCCAAGGUGCAAACAAAGUUGGCAUCAAAGUUCAGGCAGAGAUCAAAACAUCCAGAUAAAUCCAGUGACCAGAAUUGGGAAACAGGCAGAGUCAAUAUUCAGGCAGCCAGAGUACAGAUAAGAAAACUGGAAAGGCUUGGGAAAACUCACUGGCACAAUCUGGCAAUAAACAGGUGAAGACACAGGACUGAAAUACACUGAGCAAUAAACAGAGAGGCAGAUGACAGGUGGAGCACAACGAGACAGAAGUUUCAUUGAGAUAGAAGUGGCAGCAAAACAGGUAAUAAUGAGAGGCAGAAUACUCGAUAAUACAGGGGCCGGAGUAGAGCAGGAGCACAUGGGACAUGAAAACAUACAAGAGCACGUGGCAAUGCAAAACCACAGGCUGAUGGCUAGGGGGAAAAAUACACAAAAAUACAAAGUUCAACUGGAGGUACAAGAAGACUCAAGAAAUCCUGGAAAUAUUCAAAAUAAUGGAUAGCAGCAGUGGAAAGGAAGAGAGAGAGUUAUAAUUUAAGGUUGAUCCAUCAGGCAUGAAAAGGAGAGUGUAGCAACUUCUCUCAACUCAAAAGUUUUGGGCGCCUUAUCUAAGAAAUGUUGUGCUGACAUUGGAGAGGUUUCAAAAGAGGUUCACAGAAAUGAUUCUGGGAUGGAAAGCACAAAGAUGAGUAAA
Hypanus sabinus (Atlantic stingray) is the source of this 886-nucleotide long non-coding RNA. RefSeq lists it as uncharacterized. The transcript is spliced from 3 exons. Lineage: Eukaryota; Metazoa; Chordata; Chondrichthyes; Myliobatiformes; Dasyatidae. The record is from RefSeq and is a predicted model, not a curated record.